GCAGUCGUGGCCGAGUGGUUAAGCCAAUGGACUAGAAAUCCAUUGGGGUCUCCCCACACAGGUUCGAAUCCUUCGACUGCG
Non-coding RNA from Ixodes scapularis (black-legged tick), 81 nucleotides. Lineage: Eukaryota; Metazoa; Arthropoda; Arachnida; Ixodida; Ixodidae. The record is from Rfam.